GAAACAUGAUGAUUAGUCCGGUUUAUUAAAAUUUAACACAUCAAUUUCAAAACAUUUACUUAUAAAACUAUAUCAGAAAAAUCUUUUAGUGAAAAUCAAAAAAAUUUACAUAAAACAUUGUUUUUUUUUUUUGGUAAAUCGACGGGAGUUAGUGCCCUCCCUAUGUUUUAUUAAAAAAAUUAAAAUUAUACAUAAACGUUUCUCGGCCGCGGCGGACCAACAAUAUCCUCUCGCAAAAUCG
This 241-nucleotide long non-coding RNA is filed under the name Capsella rubella. Its description in RNAcentral is "long non-coding RNA (CRUB_LNC000935)". The record is from RNAcentral. Lineage: Eukaryota; Viridiplantae; Streptophyta; Magnoliopsida; Brassicales; Brassicaceae.